GAGUUUGAUCCUGGCUCAGAAUGAACGCUGGCGGCAGGCCUAACACAUGCAAGUCGAACGGAGUUAUAUUGUAGCUUGCUAUGGUAUAACUUAGUGGCAGACGGGUGAGUAAUGUAUAGGAAUCUACCUAGUAGUACGGAAUAAUUGUUGGAAACGGCAACUAAUACCGUAUACGCCCUACGGGGGAAAAAUUUAUUGCUAUUAGAUGAGCCUAUAUUAGAUUAGUUAGUUGGUGAGGUAAAGGCUUACCAAGACAAUGAUCUAUAGCUGAUCUGAGAGGAUGAUCAGCCACACUGGGACUGAGACACGGCCCAGACUCCUACGGGAGGCAGCAGUGGGGAAUAUUGGACAAUGGGCGCAAGCCUGAUCCAGCCAUGCCGCGUGAGUGAUGAAGGCCUUA
RNAcentral lists this ribosomal RNA (400 nucleotides) under uncultured Hyphomicrobiales bacterium. RNAcentral describes it as "bacterial SSU rRNA". It matches the Rfam family "Bacterial small subunit ribosomal RNA", at positions 9 to 419 of the family's 1533-position model. Lineage: Bacteria; Pseudomonadati; Pseudomonadota; Alphaproteobacteria; Hyphomicrobiales. The record is from RNAcentral.